This 276-nucleotide ribosomal RNA is filed under the name Triticum aestivum (bread wheat). RNAcentral's name for it is "partial small subunit ribosomal RNA". Lineage: Eukaryota; Viridiplantae; Streptophyta; Magnoliopsida; Poales; Poaceae. The record is from RNAcentral.
UUGCCCAUCAUCUCCUGGUUUUCCCCUCUGUGGAAGGCCCCAUUGCCCUUGAAGAUUAAGAUUUUUGUAUGGCAACUACUACGAGACCGCAUCCCAUCAGGGACUGAGGUGCUUAAGCGGCAUGGCCCGGGUGAUGGCAUGUGCCCCCUUUGUGCGGUCCCGGAAACCAAGACUCACAUCUUAUUCUCAUGCACGGCAGCACGGGUCCUCUGGACAUACGUCCGCGAGGCCCUGGGGCCCAACUGUGAGGCCCUGGACUUGGCGGGGUUCCUGUAA